CCCUUAGAUGUCCUGGGCCGCACGCGCGCUACACUGAUGCAUUCAACGAGUAUUUCCUUGGCCGAGAGGCCUGGGCAAUCUUUUAAACCUGCAUCGUGAUAGGGAUAGAUUAUUGCAAUUAUUAAUCUUGAACGAGGAAUUCCUAGUAAACGCAAAUCAUCAAUUUGCAUUGAUUACGUCCCUGCCCUUUGUACACACCGCCCGUCGCACCUACCGAUUGAAUGGUCCGGUGAAAUCUCGGGAUUGUGGCCAGUUCGCUUUAUUGAGAGUUGGCUGCGAGAACUUGCUUAAACCUUAUCAUUUAGAGGAAGGUGAAGUCGUAACA
Molecule: ribosomal RNA, 325 nt
Filed under: uncultured eukaryote
Lineage: Eukaryota
Description: partial 18S ribosomal RNA
Rfam family: Eukaryotic small subunit ribosomal RNA
Source: RNAcentral